Molecule: long non-coding RNA, 1488 nt
Filed under: Theobroma cacao (cacao)
Lineage: Eukaryota; Viridiplantae; Streptophyta; Magnoliopsida; Malvales; Malvaceae
Description: long non-coding RNA (TCAC_LNC006091)
Source: RNAcentral
UUCUCGGGGAUACCUUGGCCGAGGCAUCUAACCGAGUUCGCUAAGGCUGUUAAAAAGUUCGUAUACACGUAAACAUAUUUUUAGUUUGAAAAACACAGCCAUUCCUUGGCGUUAGCGGAGUUCAUCAUCACGAGGUGGUUCGGCGUGACGUGAACUCUAUCCAUACCUCAAAAGAUACCCUACGCGCCUCUCCAACCGAGGUACAUAUAUAUAUCCAGAUUUCGUACCCCUCUAAUAGGUUGGUCCACAGAACCCGCCCACUGCAACAAGCUAAACCCACCAUACAAUAAAAUUUUGACAGCAUGACAUGACUAAUAUAGUACUACCCAACCUGCAAGUGUAAAAUAGAACAAUUCAUACAGUUCACAAAAAUACAACCCAGCCAGUCAUGCCAACACAUUAACAUAAGCCAUCAAUUCAAAUCAUAAAUUUACAACAUACCGGUGGUCUCUAAUUACUCUAUUUUCAAAAUUGUUAUUCAAUUUCAAGAUAAUUUAUAAAAUCUUUCCAUGUAAACACAUUCUGUUUGUAAAACACAACAAUUUACCAUUUAAACUCAUUUUCAUAAAAUUUCACCAAAACCGAUUAAAAACACACUUUAGAUAAUUAAAAUGAUAGUAAGGUUACUCACUAUUUCGGGAGUCGAAUUUCUAAAGUACUCUGACUACCGAUCCUCGGAUACAAUUUCCUAGCCUUUAUCGGAGGAUUCACCACCUAGACAUAGUACAAAAUCGAAAAACUUACUACAUUGGUACUAAAUUGAAAUUAAACUAAUUUAGACUAUUAAUGGAUGAUAUGGAAUGCAAAAAUGUCCGAAUAGCCGUUUAAAUACGAUAUUCGACCUAAUUCGCACUAUUCUUGGUGUAAUUGGCUAAAACCUCCAAUUUAACUCCAAAUCGAUUUCUUUCACUUUUUACACUCUAAUUAUACUUAAAAUACCUCAAUGAUUGUGAAUAUGAUUUAAUUUAUCAGUUCGAACUAUAAAUCACACAUGUCUAUACAUUAGGUAAAAAUUCAGAUUUUCAUGCCAAAAUUUCCCAUUAAAUUUCUAGCCUCACCAAUCAUUAAAUACCACCAAAAUAUCAUGAAAUAUCAUCAAUUUCNUUUUCAUGCCAAAAUUUUCCAUUAAAUUUCUAGCCUCACCAAUCAUUAAAUGACACCAAAAUAUCAUGAAAUAUCAUCAAUUUCAGCCUCAAUAUCCUCCCUAAAAAAUUCGGCCAAUGAUGGGUAAUGGGAGAAAAAUGAAUUUUUUUCUUGUUGUUUAGUUUCUUAGACAUGAUAAACUAACCAAAAACACUAGCAUAACUUAAAAUCAAAUCAAUCCAACUUCAUUCUCUCCCCAUACCCAUUCCAACCAGCCAUGAAUUCACCAUGAAAACAUUGAAAUCUAACCUUGGAAAAUGAAAAAGAAAGCAUUGGGUAGUGUAAAUCACAAGUCAAAAUCAAGAAAUUUUACCUUUAUUAGCUUAAUCCCUUGAAAUCCCACAC